RNAcentral lists this transfer RNA (64 nucleotides) under Lilioceris yunnana. Its description in RNAcentral is "tRNA-Trp". The record is from RNAcentral. Lineage: Eukaryota; Metazoa; Arthropoda; Insecta; Coleoptera; Chrysomelidae.
AAGGAUUUAAGUUAAAUAAACUAUUAACCUUCAAAGUUAAAAAUGGGAUAGAUACCAAGCCUUA